UUCGCAAUGCCCGAAAGGGUGACGAAGCGACGCCGCGUGUGGGAAGAAGGCCUUCGGGUUGUAAACCACUGUCGGGAGUUAGGAAAUGUAAGGGUGCUAAUAGUAUCCUUACUUGACUAAGGCUCCGGAGGAAGCCACGGCUAACUCUGUGCCAGCAGCCGCGGUAAUACAGAGGCGGCAAGCGUUGUUCGGAAUUAUUGGGCGUAAAGAGCACGUAGGCGGCCUUGUAAGUCAGUUGUGAAAGCCUUCUGCUUAACGGAAGAACAGCAGCUGAUACUGCAAGUCUAGAGUGCGGAAGGGGAGAGUGGAACUUCUGGUGGAGCGGUGAAAUGCGUAGAUAUCAGAAGGAACACCGGCGGCGAAGGCGACUCUCUGGUCCGUAACUGACGCUGAGUGUGCGAAAGCUAGGGGAGCAAACGGGAUUAGAUACCCCGGUAGUCCUAGCCGUAAAC
Molecule: ribosomal RNA, 452 nt
Filed under: uncultured bacterium
Lineage: Bacteria
Description: bacterial SSU rRNA
Rfam family: Bacterial small subunit ribosomal RNA
Source: RNAcentral